GAUGAACGCUGGCGGCGUGCCUAAUACAUGCAAGUCGAGCGAACAGACGAGGAGCUUGCUCCUCUGACGUUAGCGGCGGACGGGUGAGUAACACGUGGAUAACCUACCUAUAAGACUGGGAUAACUUCGGGAAACCGGAGCUAAUACCGGAUAAUAUAUUGAACCGCAUGGUUCAAUAGUGAAAGACGGUUUUGCUGUCACUUAUAGAUGGAUCCGCGCCGCAUUAGCUAGUUGGUAAGGUAACGGCUUACCAAGGCAACGAUGCGUAGCCGACCUGAGAGGGUGAUCGGCCACACUGGAACUGAGACACGGUCCAGACUCAUACGGGAGGCAGCAGUAGGGAAUCUUCCGCAAUGGGCGAAAGCCUGACGGAGCAACGCCGCGUGAGUGAUGAAGGUCUUCGGAUCGUAGAACUCUGUUAUUAGGGAAGAACAAAUGUGUAAGUAACUAUGCACGUCUUGACGGUACCUAAUCAGAAAGCCACGGCUAACUACGUG
RNAcentral lists this ribosomal RNA (497 nucleotides) under uncultured bacterium. RNAcentral's name for it is "partial 16S ribosomal RNA". It matches the Rfam family "Bacterial small subunit ribosomal RNA", at positions 28 to 507 of the family's 1533-position model. The record is from RNAcentral.